GACGAACCGUGCGAACGUUGUUCGGAAUCACUGGGCUUAAAGGGCGCGUAGGCGGGCGGCCGCGUCCGGGGUGAAAUCCCACGGCUCAACCGUGGAACGGCCUCGGAUACGGGCGGCCUCGAGGGGGGUAGGGGCAUCUGGAACUGUGAGUGGAGCGGUGAAAUGCGUUGAUAUUCACAGGAACUCCGGUGGCGAAGGCGAGGUGCUGGACCCCAUCUGACGCUGAGGCGCGAAAGCCAGGGGAGCGGAACGGG
Molecule: ribosomal RNA, 254 nt
Filed under: uncultured bacterium
Lineage: Bacteria
Description: partial 16S ribosomal RNA
Rfam family: Bacterial small subunit ribosomal RNA
Source: RNAcentral